RNAcentral lists this ribosomal RNA (253 nucleotides) under uncultured bacterium. RNAcentral's name for it is "partial 16S ribosomal RNA". It matches the Rfam family "Bacterial small subunit ribosomal RNA", at positions 524 to 776 of the family's 1533-position model. The record is from RNAcentral.
GACGUAGGGUCCGAGCGUUGUCCGGAGUUACUGGGCGUAAAGGGCGCGUAGGCGGCUUUGUGCGUCACACGUGAAAGCCCCUGGCUUAACCAGGGAGGGUCGUGUGAAACGGCGAAGCUGGAGGCAGAGAGAGGCUGGUGGAAUUCCCGGAGUAGUGGUGAAAUGCGUAGAUAUCAGGAGGAACACCGGUGGCGAAGGCGGGUCUCUGGGCCGAUACUGACGCUGAGGAGCGAAAGCGUGGGGAGCGAACAGG